RNAcentral lists this long non-coding RNA (216 nucleotides) under Linum usitatissimum (flax). RNAcentral describes it as "long non-coding RNA (LUSI_LNC000972)". The record is from RNAcentral. Lineage: Eukaryota; Viridiplantae; Streptophyta; Magnoliopsida; Malpighiales; Linaceae.
CAAACGGAUGAAUUCGGCUCCAAAUCAAUCCAAUCGGCGAUCAAACAAACCCUAGAAAUUGCCGGUACGAUAACAAUCAACAAGAAGGAUACAACCACUCUGCCUUAAUAAUACUACAUCCUGAUCCAGGAAAUGACUCAAGAUCACUAUGGAGAUUAUCAUCAGAUUUUCGUUUCUACGAAUCAAAUCUAUAAACGGAAGUUACGAGAAGCUAAA